UGUAUGCCCACGCGUGUGUUUGUGUGAGUGACCUAGGAAGCACUGCUCCGUCAUACUCUUCCCCCAGCGGAUUUCAAUCACUUCCUGCUGUCUACUCUGGUCCACUCUCUACUCGUCCGUUCAUCCGCAGCUCUACUCAAGGCCAGGGAGUGAUUUUUCGGUUUCCUGCAGUUUUUCCAUCUCGGCACUACGAAGCGACGUCGGCUGCUGUUGUGUCAUCUCAGUGUGAGUCUGUGUCGCGUUCGCUUCUUUCAUUCCUCUCAUCCUCGUCCUCACUUUUGGCUCCUUUCUUCGUUUUCCUUUUGAGUUUUCAGUGUCCCACUUUCCACAUGAGUUAACUCAUGUGGCUGUUCAGCUUGCUCGCCGCUCUACCGGUCUCUGUCUCUGUGUUUAGCUCUCUGAUUGGUUGUUUAUCUCCUUGCUAUCAUGGCUAAUAUAAUUUUGAUGCUAAACAGAAACUAAUAGUAUAUCUGCGUACACACAACUGAAAGUAUUAUGGGGAUGUGAACCGGCUCUGCUUCUUAAAAAUAAAUUUCGAUUGAACGUAUUUCAUAAUACAUCAGUGGCUAAUGUCUGCGGUCUCCUUUCAGUUGUGUUAAACUUAAAGUGACCUUUUGUGAUAAAUAUCAUUAAAAAAAUCCAGAACAAUUACAAAGUUUAUAGUCAACCUUGGUAUUCAACCUUCGUAUUCAAGGUUGAUUAUAAAUAAAUGCACAAACAAAUCUGUAUAAAAAAGAGAGCGAGACACACACACACACACACACACACACACACACACACACACAAGGGAUCCUCCUCUAUCCUUUAUCCUCGUUUCUGUUUGACUUUCUUGGAAACGAGAGGAGACGAGGAAUGAGGAAGUUAGUUGGAAAGACUAUCAUCCUUUUUUCCAUUUAGUUGAUAUCAUGAUGUGUCUUGUUAAAUACAAAUCUUAAUCUUUUCAUACACUGACAUGUCUGAUUUAAUCAACUAUCAGAAAGUUCCCAUUUGUAGGAUCAGGCACUUUUAAAUGAUUGUUUAAAUCUAAUCAUCUAAUCCAGAUUUUUCAAUCAAUCAACUGUUGCAUCCACAUUUAACACAUGUGAAGUCUGAAUGCAGACAGGAAUUCAAAUGGUAAAAGUACAUUUCAGUGCAAUCUGCCCUGAAGAUUUUGAAAGUGGAAUUAGCGGAUGUAGAAGAAAAGGUUGUUUGAACAUUGCAAGUGUGCAUGUCAUAAUUCUGCACAAGGUGUAAAACGUUCCCCCCUACACCUCCCUCAGGAAGUUACUGUAGGAGUCGCAUCUCAACGGUAUUAGUAACUUUUGAAAAAUCGACAAUCAGCAGAGCACAACCAUUUGACGCAGUGAUUGGCCUGGUGUACAAAGGUUUCAUUGACACACUGACUUUCUUCAGUGUUAGUAAGUACGCACACCAAGAAACUUUGAGCAAAAAUUCAAUUAUCUUCUUCUGACUGGCCAUUUCUUUUGAUCAACAAUAAACGUGGUAUAGAUUCAGAUUUGUUCAUCCGACAAUUAUUCUUUUCAAUUCUGCCACAACCUGUCUUAUCGGCUGACACCAUGUUGUCAUGAACCAAGACCCAAGUCUCAGGGGAAAGCCGAUUUGACACAUUUAGGAUUAAUGGAGAAAAUCUUCAUUCUCUCCUUAUUCUUUCAUUCCCACACAGUGACAUCUUAUUUCUCACUGAAGAAGAUGCAUCUAUUCUCCCUUCAUGGAUGAAUUAUUGUACUUUUCAUACAUUGUACAUCUUCCUUUUUUUUUUUUACCCUUUUGACAAUAUCCCUUGAAAAACAUCAUUACAUGGACAUUAUGUGACCUUAACCGUCUUUUCUACAUUUGAAACAAAUUCAUAUCUAAAAACCUACAGUGCAGAAGAGUUGUUUGUUCUCCUUAGUAAUAAACCUCCUUACUGGAAACCAUGUGACUUCUGGAAAAGUCCUUGUUUGACUUGAAUGGGGAGUUUGAUAGGUGGGUCUGACAACAGAGGGAAGGAUCUCAGUUAUUAAUAAAUUAUUCUUAUUGUCUGUUAAAAGUACAGCUUAAGUUAUUCAAUAUUCAUCAAUACAAACUUUUAGAUUUCUUCAAAAUCCUUGUAAACUGCUGCCCAGACAGUAAAACCUUUGCAUGAAUUAAACAUAUCGGAUAGUUGGAAUGUUUAAAUGACAAUAUGUUCCUUCCAUGUGCAGAUCAGAAUUUCUGCUGUAUUAUGGAGAAGAAAAACAUAAAGGGAUUUAGAAGUCGAUCAGAGUUGAGUGAAAUAGUGCUUAGGUUACCGUGUGCAACCAAAACCACGAGAUCCGGCUGAGCGAGAACAGGGCGAGAGUUUCCUAACACCGCGGCGAGUCCUGACACGAUGCUGGUUGUGACACCGAGCCUGGGAUGGGAUCACGGAACAGGGAGUGAUGAGUUUAAACCUAGAAAAACGGGAUUCCACUCUCACUCCCUGCUCACGGAGCAACAUACCUCCCGAGAGUUUCCCACGAGAAAAACCUCAGGCGUUUUUCGGUCCAGGAAAAAAAAAAAGAACGGCACAGGUGAGGGAGACGGGGAGAUGGAUAUAUAGAUAGAUACUGUGUGGAGCGCCAUGGGAACACUAGGGGCAUGUUUCGAUGAAUUGCAGGUGGGUAGGGUGGGUGUUUGGCAGCCUUACAUCUAGAGACUGAUAGUCAGAGGGAUUAAGAUUGGGAUUCAUGAGAAAAAAGGCCAGAUAGGCAUCGGCUGGCCACCUCUUUCCAUAACUGUCUACUGAGUGUGUUCAGCUUGGAGACAGGACCUUAAUGCCAAGAAAACAACUGACUCAGCACGAAAGCAUAAUGCACCCUCGCUUUAUGUGGACACGCAUAUUUGUACAAAAUGCCAAGGUGUGGUUCGCCGGCUGAAUCUCAUGUGACCCACUAAAGUACAUGGACUUGCCAGACAAGUGAUUUUCUUUUUUCUUUUUCUCAUCUCCCUGUCUUCCUACCAACGCCUCCAUCCAUCCAUGCCUGUCUGCGGGGAUAAAGUCAUAGCUGCCAAACCUGUUCUUUGUCACCAUUUAUCAGCUGGAUCUGAAGGGAUGUAUUUCCUCCAUCGCCUCUUCCUCCUCUUUUGAGGAACGCACAGUGGAGUCAUGAGCUGAGUGGGAGCACAACUAGUUGAUAAGAUCUUUAAUCCCUGUGAGUACUAUAAUUCAUGUGCACCCUUCAAGGGGUUGAGCUGAUGAAACGCAUACAUGCACAGCCGACAUGUCCUACAACGAGGUUCCUAACUGUGACUAACCCUGACCUUUGACCUCUUUCUGGAGGGUACAACUAAAACAAAAACCCUGGAGUAGGAAUCGAGUGAAACUAUGUGUAAGAGAUGCACAAAACUACUCCUGAUGUGUGAUUAACUCUCAGGGGUCACAGAUUAGGCCUUUGUGAACAAAUGACUGGUUCAGGACAUCAGAAAUGGGUUUGAUUAUACCUGCUUCGUUAUUUUGAAUAGUAAAUAGUUUACUUAAUCAGUUUUACAAUUAUAUUUUCCAAUUUAAAACGUUCAUAAAACUUUAACUUUCAAAAUGUUUUGUUGUUUUUACAAAGAAAAAAGCCACAUAAUCUAAAAAAAAUUGAUAUUAGGUUUUUGGGUGCAAUGUGUUGAUACACUUCAUCAAAGUGAAAAAAAUAAUUGUUUGUCAUAUAGUCAACGUUGUGCUGAAAAAUAAGAUAACAAUCCAAAUGACCCCCAGGAUAAACAAUGUUAAUAAAUUUGAGGAUAACUGGAGGGUUAAGAUAUAAAAAGUUUUUCAUAAAAAGUGCCCCUAGGACUGAUAGUGAUGUGUGAAUAUUUAAGAAGUAUCUCCCAACAUAAGGGUCAGGGUUCACAUGCUGUCUAAAUUCAUGUGGUGGCAUGUAGUGGAGUAGAGUAUUGUACAAAAGCAAGUACACUGCAUGAAAACAUUACUGAAACAUCAUUUGAGUAAAGUUACUUAGUUAUUGUCAUAACAUUCAUCCUAAUCAUAAUGGAAACAUUAAGAUCAGUCACAUUUAGAAUGAUUUCUAAGUAUCAUGUCAAUGUGUCUCUGGGCCAAAAAGAAAUUUUCCAUCUUCAGCAGUGACUCACCCUUUGCAUCUUAUUUGCAUAGUUUUGCAUUCUGCUUCAUUUGCUUGCCAACUUAUCCAUUAAGUUUUAUGUUUGUAAAAUUAUUGAACCCUUCUUUAAAGUGUGCCUGGAGGUUUAUCUUAUGAUAAGUUAAAUCCCAAACUCAGAUUUGUAUCUCCAGGUUCUCAGACUGACAGGUUGUGGUAAAGUCCCCCUCAUGGGUACACUGUGGACCUGAGGCUCACAGUGAAGGAUCUGCUGUUUUUGCUGCUUCAUCUCUUGUGCAAACACAAGCAAAAGAGUCAUUUAGGUGUUUGCACAGCUACAUCCUGUUCCAAAGAACCCCCCCCCCCCCCCCCCACACACACACACAUACACACCAGACACAUAUUCAUGGAUCCAUACCACAGCAUACUGUAAGACAAAACCCUAAAUUUGCAUAUAGUGUUUCUCUUAAGUAACAGUGGCCAUAUCAAUACUGUUGCGAGUUCCAGCUUAUGAAGUUAUUCUUUUUUAUACUUUGCAGCUGAUUUAAAAGCAGCAGCAAUUUUCUGCAAUAACUCAAAUUAACCUCUCCCUAACCCACUGCCUUUCACCAGACACAAGCCAGUUUACAGAUAUCUUUCUGACAAUAUAUACACAGCAUGUGGUUUUUGAUAAAAUACUUAACUAGAAUGGCACUCCAUAGAGGUCAUACCUCUGCCAAGACACAAUAGUCCCGUUAUAAAACCACGUUUGCAUUCUCUAGAUCCAGAAUUUUGUUUGGAUCUCCACCAAUGGAACAUCCUCAUAAAUAUCAUUAGACAUUUCUAAAUUAUUGCAUGAGUAGACCACACCUUUGUUCAAACUCCUGACUUCAUUUUGAUCUCAGCUUCACACCUGUAAAGUUUUAUUACUAUAUCUUGCACGACUAUAACUUCAUCUCUGUAACUAAAUCUGUUGACAGACAAACAGACAUGUGCACGUGCCAAUGUACUUUAAACCCUCCUUUGUAGCAGCUACAGCUACAGUCAGUGUCUCCAGGACCACAUUUGGCCAUGAUGAGUCACAAGUUGAAAGCAGUACCAGCCUGACUGUUUUGGCUGUACAUUUUCACACCUAAUUUCAACCCUGAGAGAAAAAAGAAAUCAUUCUUCAUCACAGCUGUUUUCCAGCAGUGACACCACUCCCUAAAAAAACAUUUGCCAAACAUCACAUGAGCGCUGUGGCUUUUUCUGGAAUCGGUAUUGUCGUGUCUGGAUGAAGUCAUAACAAACAAUUAUACAGCAGAUAGCAAUGUCUGAAGGACAAAAUGCCAUUUCUUUUACUGUUGUGUGAUUUUUUUUAUGUCUAAGGGUGUUUGACUGUGAAGCAGCUGCAGCACGUAAUGAGUUAUCUGCUGAGGUCUUUAUCUGACUUAAGUUUAUAAUGAAUCCAAGUUUGGGGUUACCUUUUUAUUUUCAUCACAACUACUCCCAGCACUUGAAUAGGGACCAGAUUUUAAGCUAAAAGCUCAACUGAAAUACAGCAGGAGAAGCAGAUCAGAAAGUCUGCUGCAUGUUAGACGAACAAUAACAAAUGUGCAAAAUACAUUUCCAACAAACAAUAAUUCCUAUGAGAUGAAAGAAAUGAGCCAGGAAAAUGCCAUAAGAAAGAGGAAACCUCCAAAAUAGGAUUGAGUUAUGUACAAUAAUUUAGUUUUUAUGCUAACAUGGAACAUGGAUUUAGGAUCUUUUGUCACAGCAAACAACAAUAAUUCGCUCAUGACACAACCAUAUCAUGUUUCUGAUGAAGUGUUACACGGCUCUAAGUGCUGCCUGACCGGUUCAGCAUCUGUGUGUACUGUGUCAUCACGGGCCGACGGCUGCCUGUUCAAACUUGUCCACGAUUCAGAGAAAAGACAAGGUCCUGUCAAAUGUGCAUGUUCAUGUGUAUAACUCCAAAGAGACGAAGAGGAGGUACUCAUCCAUCUUAAUGAGAACUUACUCAUAUUACUUUCUUUCGGUUUUCUGAUGUUUGUCCUUCAUGUUUUUCUGUUUUAACCCACAGGCCUCCCUCCUUUGGUACCUGUUCGUCCUGCAGGACGGGUGAUCAUCUUGGCACCGACCGUAGGCCCUAAACACAUCUCAAACACACACACACACACACACACACACACACACACACACACACACACACACACACACACACACACACACACUAUACUUACUGAGGUGUGUAGAGUGGAGUGUCAGAUAGGGCCCCCCUGUGACACAUAUACACACUUUUUUCACUCUCCUUCCAAAUGCCCUAUGCAACAUCCCCACACACUUUUUGUAUGUGCCCUCAAUGUGUGUGUGUUAUCAAGGCCCUGUGUUUCCUGUUUUGCAAUCCUCACCAUGUCCUUCCAGAAAACGUCUGCCUCUAGCUGCUUCAGGAACAGAGUGUUUUUCUGCCCCCCUCAGAGGGGACAUUUAGCACUAUGAUACAUGAACUGUAUUUAUGCAGCUUCCUUAAACGUCCAUCUUUUAACAAAAGGUUUCAUAUGAUAACGUUUUAAUAAAAUGCUUCGAGGCCACAAUACAUUUUCUCUGGUGACAGACCGGUAUUAUCAUCCAAAUCAGUUUGUUUUAUCAAGAAUAGUUAGGCUUCAAUAAAAACAAAUUUGAAGGUAAUGUGCUAAAAAUGACAUGACUCUGCAUAAAUGUCUCCAGUUUACAAUAACCUCAUCACGAAAUGAGAAUGCCCUUUAGAGGAAGAGGUCUCAAUUGUGGACUUGACGUUGGAGGAGAAGCGAGCAUUUUUCUUUUUAUUGCUGUAAAGAAUGGGGAGGAAAGUAGUUUCAUACACUGGCAGGUGAGAAACUGUAACGUCCCAGAUGAUAAAAUUGCCAGGCACUGUGUUAUCUACCUGGAAGCACCUGUGCAUGACAAUGAGCGCAUGUGUGUUUGCAUAUGAAAAACUCCUCCGUGCCCUAAAGGUAUCUGUCCAGAAGGCUGUGGAUCAGAACUUUAUAACUCACAUGACUAACGCAUCAAACAAUAACACUUGUGACAACUGAGUCAGAUCAAAUACCUCUACGCGGGGCCCACUGUUGGAUGUAGCGGGGGGGGGGGGUCCUGUCCAUGUUUAUUGGAGCCAUUUUGUGUAUUACAAUGAGUAGUCAAUUUAUCUAAGGCGACGCACGUUGAGGUGGUUUCCCCUGGAGGCAGGUGGGCGCCUGUUUGCAUAUGUGUGUGAGACUGACUCAUGAGUUCCCCAGAGGUAAGUAGUUUACAACUCUCACUUAUCAAUAGUCCACAUUUAUGAAUGACUAAAUGACUAUGUAACACACAGAAUGUCCAUGCAGCUAAACAUCAAGUCAGGGAUUCCCAUUGUAACAACAAAACAUGUACCCUCAUUCGAAUGAAGUAUCAAUUCUAAAUAGGCAUUGCCUUUGUCUUGCAUAAGAGCAGGGACGGGGGGGUUCCAUGUGUGGCCAUGGUGGGGUAGGUUUGAUUGUGGUCAAUUGUGGCCAAGAUAUGUACCUACUGUAGUCAGAUAGUGUGUGUUCGUGUGUUUGUGUGUGUGUGUGUGCGUGUGUGGUUUGUGCUCAGGAUGGGUGUGGCAGGGCAGGGCUUCUUGCUCCUAUCAUACCCACAAAAGACUGGGGCUUCUUUACUGAGAAAUCAAAAGUGAAAGGUCAAAGCAGCAACGUGAUGUCGCAAAAAGAAAGUGCACAGGGUCUGUGGCGUGUACUUUGUCUGAACUUUGCACCUCCUCAGUAUGUGUCAGGAGGUGCAUGUGUGAACGCAAAGGUCCGAGUGAAACACGACUUUCUCUGCCUGGCCUCCUAGUGAAAUGUCUCUGGAAGUCUGGGAAAAGUCAGGGCAGGGGAUUAACCUCCAGCAAGUGGGGGGGGGCUUCAGUGCAGAUGUAGGCUACUCAUGUUUAAGCUACAGUCUAAUUUGGUUAAUUAGCAUCCCCGGGUUCGCCCUCCCUCACUUCAACCCAGCAAGAUUGAGCUCGACCAGAGGAGGGGUGAGGUCGAAACAGGAGCAGAAUGGAACUUCUGCAUUAAAACCGUUUAAAGGUUGUUGUUUUUUCAUUUCUCAUCCCAAUCACGAUUUGGAAAACAACCUAAAUUGCUGUGGAUCAUGUGCCUCAACAACAGGAUGUUGUCCCACACAUUUUGGUCCUCUGCCUGUCGCCAGGAGUUGUGCACGGUUGCCGUGCUGCGCAGUGCUGGGUUUGUUGUUAUGGUGCAGAGGGGAUCCAUCUCUCAGUGAGCAGCUGUCACUCCCUGCACCUCUGCUGUUGUUGUUGUCUUGAAGAGGUACUUUCCCUCCGUCGCACUUCCUCCCACAGGACUAUUUGUUUAUGACAGAUUCUGUGUGUGUGUGUUUGUGUGUACAGUGUGUGUGUGUGUAUACUGUAAAUCUCUAUAUUACAUUUGGCACAUGUAUCUCAUAAGCUUGUACAUUUUCAGAAUAUGAUUUGACUUCUUGUGCUGGACACAAAAUGAAAUGUGUGUCAGUAUACUUUUUGGGACAAAUGCACAUUCAUAGUAAACACGCACCUAAAAUCACAAUCCAAAAAGUACUGUUUGCCAAUUUAGCUCAUUCAAAUAGUGGCAUGCUGAUUGUGUGACGAAUUUGUGCCGCGUGCCUGGUUUUGCAUAACUCCUGCUUCUCUUUUCCUCACACAUGCUCUCGUCUCGCUCCUCGUGGCGUCCGCUGCCCGAGUGUCCACUGCGUGUGCGACAGUGUGGACCAUCCUUCAGGGGUAAACUCAGCUUUUGUAUCUUCCGGAGGACAGAAAAUGAAAGAAACAGUGCGAACACGCAUGCGCUACCUGGACCAUAAGCCUCACCGCUCAUUUGGAUAUCAGCGUCAUGUGGAGCUGCAAUCAGGCUCUGCUUCCCGCUCUCUAACACCGUCUCUUCCACGAGGAAUACUCGGCCACGCCAACCACCACCUCCACCAUCUUUAACCACCAUCAAGCUUUACUGGACUUCUCCUCCUUAAAUUCACGGGACUAAGACUCUGGCAGGAAUUGGGAACCCCCUGCUAACGGCUUUUGUGAUAAAGGAAAGGUAGAGGGCUGCACCCACUCAGCAGAUGGUACGUGGUGAGGCUGACAGUUGUACAUUAUUAACUCGUGCUCUGCAGAAUAAAAGGCUUGAAACAUUUAUUGGAGUGGCAUGUUGAUCUUCUUUUUUCCUUUUAUUUUCAUCGAUGUGCAAAACCCCCUCUGUAUACGCAACAAAAAUCAUUUCUGAGCUUCGUGCUGACUGUAAACAAUGAUUUUCUGUUUAUAAAAGCAACACCGGAAUCAUUAAAGGAUCUUUAGUGUAACUGUGUCCAACAAUAACAAUUUUUUUUUUAUAACAGGAAUAAGUUGGUUAUUAUACCUGAGUGCUCAAAAUGUGACCUCGAAGUUGUGGUAUGGAUUCUCUCUCUCUCUCUCUCUCUCUCUCUCUCUCGCACACGCAUCCAUUUGACACACACAUUUCUUCAUCCAUCUGUUGUCUUUUUUUUCUCUCCUCCUCGACUUUACAAUCCCACAACUUCUUAUCUCACUACACGGCUGUGCUCCUGCCCCCCACCCCCCUGCCCUCACACACUCCACGCACGCACACACACACACACACACACACACACACACACACACACACGUGCACUUGUACACCUCAAACCCCUCUUAUUCUGCUGAUGAGCUAAGAUGCCUCUGCUUGGUCACAUUACCCCAAUGUUGCUUCCAGAUAACUACACUGUGAAGCCUGUGGUUUUCUCUCUAUGUGUGUGUAUGUGUGUGUGUUUGUGUGUUUGUGGGUGUGAGUUCGAGAGAAAGAGAGAGAGAGAACCAAUUUGCUGAUGCUGUUAAUUUACGACCUUAAUAAACGGAUUUGAAUAUAAAA
Molecule: long non-coding RNA, 9913 nt
Organism: Pleuronectes platessa (European plaice)
Lineage: Eukaryota; Metazoa; Chordata; Actinopteri; Pleuronectiformes; Pleuronectidae
Exons: 2
Source: RefSeq, a predicted model, not a curated record